Long non-coding RNA from Bubalus bubalis (water buffalo), 1697 nucleotides. RefSeq lists it as uncharacterized. The transcript has 2 exons. The record is from RefSeq and is a predicted model, not a curated record. NCBI's taxonomy places the organism in Eukaryota, Metazoa, Chordata, Mammalia, Artiodactyla, Bovidae.
UCUAGGCUGAAACCGAAACAUAGGAUAUAAGACAUAGACGCUCUGGGCUCAUUCUAAAGAGGUAGCAGGACUGUUUACUCAUGGAAAUCUGACAGGGUUAACGGUGAAUCAUGUUGAUGCUGGUUUGAGGUGGAGGUGGUUUUGUGCCAGCUCUUGCUCUGUCUGCCUCACAUCUGUCUCCCAUUGCUAUCUUCCUGAUUUCACAUGUGUCAGUCAUGGAGUGGGGGAAGGGUGGGGAAGCAGUUGUUUCCAAUCACUACCAACUAUAAGCACACAAAACGUAAUGCAGACCACUUCAGCCACGGAGCACUGCUUUUAUCUGACUAUAUUGUUGGGUAGAACAUAUAUAUAGGGCCACUCCAGGAUGGGGCCAAGACACACAUCGUUCAAAGUAACCCCCAGAAAGCCACCACUAGAAAUAUAUCGCCCCAACCCUUACAAAGGAGAGAGAGAGAGAAUUCACAGAGUGUAUGUGCCAUCAAAGGAACCCCUCUCUCUUUCAUGGCCAUCUUUUUGGGACAAACCUUAAAUCUGCCAAGCAAGGACGAUGAUGAUUUCUUUCCUACCUCCCAGAAGUGGACAAGGAUGAAUUCAGUGAUAAAGGGAAGACCAUGAUGUAAGGCAGAGCUCACAUCAAAGAGACUCUAGGGGAUGUCAUUUCCUCUCUUCUUCCCAAAGCUUCUAUAAAAUCUCCAGGAUUUUGUUUUGGAGUUGGGACAGCUUUAAAGAAUAGAAACCCCGAGUUACUAUGACUUCCACAGGAUUUCACUCUGGCUACUGGUAUGAGACACAAUGGAGGAGCUCCACAGAUCUACAUUUGACUCGGAGUCUUGGGGAGGGGGGCAGUUAGAAAGGAGGACUAUUUGAUGUAAUGGGGUUUCAGUAGGCUUUGGGGUGGCUUUGGGCCACAACUUUAAGCAAUUUAGGCAGGAAAAGUUGGAGAAACUGAUGAAAAGAAACUGCAGAAAAAGGAGAGUGGAGAGAGAUACAAAACUGAGAAUGAAGGAGAAGAGAAACAAAGGUAACUCGUAUUAUCUUUAAUGCAAGCUAAGCUCACCUGCUGCCCUGUCUACAGGAGCCAAGGGGCAUCUUCAGCUUAGUUUUGGUCAGCUUAGGCCAGUGAUCUUCAAGUUGACCCUUGCAGCCACCCUCAAUCACUUGAUGGAAUUUCUUCCCAGCAUACCAUAUGUUAGUAUAAAAAAUUUGUUUUAUAAAGGAUUUGUCUAAAUUUUUCCCCAGGUUCUUGGCAUGGGGCUUCUCAUACCCUUGGGAUUUCCAGAGUGAUAGAAGUAUCUUUGUUAUUCAUGAGCCCCUUGGAUCAUUGUGCAGUCAUUAUGUUAAUGAGGUGACUCAUCCUGGCCCCUAGAUAACUUCUGAGUGGGAGCUGGUCACUGGGACGGCUGUGAUUAGAGGGUCAGGUCUUUGAGCCAACUCAACCUCCAGAGAGGGAAGGGGGACAGGAGAUUGAGUUUAAUCAUGGGGCCAGUGAUUUAACCAGCUAUGCAUGUAUAAUGGAACUUUGGACACCAAAGCUGAGGGGAGCUUCCGGGUUGGUGAACACUUUGAUAUACACAGAGAGUGAUGCACCCUCUUUCCAUAAGGAGAGUACAUGGGAUCUUCCCAGACCUCAGCCUGUGUUUCUCUUCAUUUGGCUGUUCCUGGUCUGUAUCAUUUAUAAUAAAACUGAACUUGGAAUG